GCAAGUCGAACGGUAACAUAGAAAAGGCUUGCUUUCCUGAUGACGAGUGGCGGACGGGUGAGUAAAGUUGGGAAGCUACCUGAUAGAGGGGGACAACAGUUGGAAACGACUGCUAAUACCGCAUACAGCCUGAGGGUGAAAGCAGCGAUGCGCUAUCAGAUGCGCCCAAAUGGGAUUAGCUAGUAGGUGAGGUAAAGGCUCACCUAGGCGACGAUCUCUAGCUGGUCUGAGAGGAUGAUCAGCCACAUUGGGACUGAGACACGGCCCAGACUCCUACGGGAGGCAGCAGUAGGGAAUAUUGCACAAUGGAGGAAACUCUGAUGCCAGCCAUGCCGCGUGUGUGAAGAAGGCCUUCGGGUUGUAAAGCACUUUCGGAGGGGAGGAGAAUGACGUUACCCUCAGAAGAAGCACCGGCUAACUCCGUGCCAGCCGCAGC
This 436-nucleotide ribosomal RNA is filed under the name uncultured bacterium. RNAcentral describes it as "bacterial SSU rRNA". It matches the Rfam family "Bacterial small subunit ribosomal RNA", at positions 57 to 518 of the family's 1533-position model. The record is from RNAcentral.